Non-coding RNA from Cricetulus griseus (Chinese hamster), 56 nucleotides. Lineage: Eukaryota; Metazoa; Chordata; Mammalia; Rodentia; Cricetidae. The record is from Rfam.
GCUCAGCGGUUAAGAGCACUGGCUGCUCUUCCAGAGGACCUGGGUUCAAUUCCCAG